CUGUGAUAGUGUUUGUGCUCAUAUGACAUACGGAGACAACUGCAAGGUAGACUGUCCAUGUGAUAGAAUUAAUACCGAAUCUUGCGAUAUGGAAUCUGGAGAGUGCGUGUGUAAGCCAGGGUAUACCGGGUUUUCCUGCAACUGCCAAACUGGUUCUCAUACCUGUAACACAACCGUUUCUGAUUGCUACGAAGAAUCGAGUGAAGUAUUCUGCAUUUGUAAGAAUGGUUUUACGAAUUCGAAGAACAACUGUACAGACAAUGUGCGAAUAAACUCCGAUGGUAUCGUGCAAGUCUUCGAAGG
This is a long non-coding RNA of Saccostrea echinata, 303 nucleotides long. RefSeq lists it as uncharacterized. NCBI's taxonomy places the organism in Eukaryota, Metazoa, Mollusca, Bivalvia, Ostreida, Ostreidae. The record is from RefSeq and is a predicted model, not a curated record. The transcript has 3 exons.